RNAcentral lists this small RNA (402 nucleotides) under Histoplasma capsulatum var. duboisii H88. RNAcentral's name for it is "Histoplasma capsulatum H88 hypothetical RNA". Lineage: Eukaryota; Fungi; Ascomycota; Eurotiomycetes; Onygenales; Ajellomycetaceae. The record is from RNAcentral.
AUGGAGGUUUACCGCCUCUGCCUUUGUUUCUACAGGACACCCGCUCUCUGGCUUAAUUUGGAUUGAUUCUGAAGGGUGGAAUGGACUUCUUGUGUUUAGGAAAUCCAUUAGAUCCCGUUUAUACGGGAACUAACCUCAAACAAGUGUCUAGGACUUCUUGUCGUCUAUUCUGCACUUGCACAUUCAUUGGGGCGUUUCCGCGAGGGGAUUCUCUUGCUACGAUGUUCCGAGCGUUGGUUUGCUAUUAGAGAAUAUUUUCUCAAGAUUGCUGUUGGCGUUUGCCUAGGAGAACUCGUGCGAGAAGAUCCAGUUCAUAUCUUGACUUAACUAUACCGUGUGCUUGUUCUAUAUGCAGAAACACUCGCGGUUUUGCUGUUUCAAACCCAUUUCAGAAAUAUACAA